AAAUUGAAGAGUUUGAUCAUGGCUCAGAUUGAACGCUGGCGGCAGGCCUAACACAUGCAAGUCGAACGGUAACAGGAAGCAGCUUGCUGCUUCGCUGACGAGUGGCGGACGGGUGAGUAAUGUCUGGGAAACUGCCUGAUGGAGGGGGAUAACUACUGGAAACGGUGGCUAAUACCGCAUAACGUCGCAAGACCAAAGAGGGGGACCUUCGGGCCUCUUGCCAUCAGAUGUGCCCAGAUGGGAUUAGCUAGUUGGUGAGGUAACGGCUCACCAAGGCGAC
RNAcentral lists this ribosomal RNA (280 nucleotides) under Salmonella enterica subsp. enterica serovar Muenchen. RNAcentral's name for it is "partial 16S ribosomal RNA". It matches the Rfam family "Bacterial small subunit ribosomal RNA", at positions 1 to 277 of the family's 1533-position model. Lineage: Bacteria; Pseudomonadati; Pseudomonadota; Gammaproteobacteria; Enterobacterales; Enterobacteriaceae. The record is from RNAcentral. RNAcentral also lists the same sequence under 3 other names.